UUUCCGUAGGUGAACCUGCGGAAGGAUCAUUACCGAGUUAGGGUGCUUCUCAGCGCCCGACCUCCCAACCCUUUGUGAACGCAACUAGUUGCUUCGGGGGGCGACCCUGCCGUUCGGCGCGGCGCCCCCGGAGGUCAUCAAAACUCUGCAUCUCUGCGUCGGAGUCAUAAGUCAAUUGAACAAAACUUUCAACAACGGAUCUCUUGGUUCUGGCAUCGAUGAAGAACGCAGC
This 232-nucleotide unclassified non-coding RNA is filed under the name uncultured fungus. RNAcentral describes it as "sequence contains ITS1, 5.8S rRNA gene". The stretch from base 184 to 232 matches the Rfam family "5.8S ribosomal RNA", at positions 1 to 49 of the family's 154-position model. The record is from RNAcentral. Lineage: Eukaryota; Fungi.